GCUGCCAUGGUGCCAGCUGCAGUGGGAGAGGCGUAGCUGGGGCUGCAUGCUCCACAGAGCCAGCAGGAGCCAGGAAUGGG
This 80-nucleotide microRNA precursor is filed under the name Chlorocebus sabaeus (green monkey). RNAcentral describes it as "miRNA (ENSCSAG00000027505.1)". The record is from RNAcentral. Lineage: Eukaryota; Metazoa; Chordata; Mammalia; Primates; Cercopithecidae.